CCUACGGGUGGCAGCAGUGAGGAAUAUUGGUCAAUGGACGCAAGCCUGACCCAGCCAUGCCGCGUGCAGGAUGACGGCUCUGUGAGUUGUAAACUACUUUUGUACGGGAGUAAAGGCACAUACGCGUAUCUGUCUGAAAGUAUCGUACGCAUAAGGCUCGGCUAACUCCGUGCCAGCAGCCGCGGGAAUACGGAGGAUUCAAGCGUUAUCCGGAUUUAUUGGGUUUAAAGGGUGCGUAGGCGGUCUGUUAAGUUAGAUGUGAAAUCCUGAGGCUCAACGUCGGAAUUGCCUUUGAUACUGGUAGGCUAGAGAGUAGUUGAGGUAGGCGGAAUGUAUGGUGUAGCGGUGAAAUGCGUAGAGAUCAUACAGAACACCGAUUGCGAAGGCAGCUUACCAAGCCACUUCUGACGUUGAGGCACGAAAGCGUGGGGAGCAAACAGGAUUAGAUACCCUAGUAGUC
This 460-nucleotide ribosomal RNA is filed under the name uncultured bacterium. RNAcentral's name for it is "partial 16S ribosomal RNA". It matches the Rfam family "Bacterial small subunit ribosomal RNA", at positions 338 to 795 of the family's 1533-position model. The record is from RNAcentral.